RNAcentral lists this unclassified non-coding RNA (338 nucleotides) under fungal sp. RNAcentral describes it as "partial internal transcribed spacer region". The stretch from base 1 to 46 matches the Rfam family "Eukaryotic small subunit ribosomal RNA", at positions 1786 to 1831 of the family's 1831-position model. The record is from RNAcentral. Lineage: Eukaryota; Fungi.
AAGUCGUAACAAGGUUUCCGUAGGUGAACCUGCGGAAGGAUCAUUCAAGUGAAAUAAAAUUAAAAGGAGGAGGAAUUUAAAAACUUCCUCUUUUUAAAAAAAAACCACAUCUUUUGUUAACCUGAACUCCUUGUUUUCAUAUCAGUUUUAUGUUUUUGUUGGCUACAUUUUACUAUUUUCUGAGGGGUUUAGUUCCUAGUUUUAAAUGGAACCCAAACUCUCUAAAGAAAAAUGAAAAAAGUGGCUUUAUUUACCCAGAGUUUAGUAUGAAAUUUUAUACCAACACUUUUUGUAAAAAAGUAAAUAACAACUUUUAACGAUGGAUCCCUCGGCUCUCA